AUUGAACGCUGGCGGCAUGCCUUACACAUGCAAGUCGAACGGCAGCACGGAGCUUGCUCUGGUGGCGAGUGGCGAACGGGUGAGUAAUAUAUCGGAACGUACCCAGGAGUGGGGGAUAACGUAGCGAAAGUUACGCUAAUACCGCAUACGUCCUAAGGGAGAAAGUGGGGGAUCGCAAGACCUCAUGCUCAUGGAGCGGCCGAUAUCUGAUUAGCUAGUUGGUGAGGUAAAGGCUCACCAAGGCAACGAUCAGUAGCUGGUCUGAGAGGA
Molecule: ribosomal RNA, 270 nt
Filed under: uncultured bacterium
Lineage: Bacteria
Description: partial 16S ribosomal RNA
Rfam family: Bacterial small subunit ribosomal RNA
Source: RNAcentral